Molecule: ribosomal RNA, 253 nt
Filed under: uncultured prokaryote
Description: partial 16S ribosomal RNA
Rfam family: Bacterial small subunit ribosomal RNA
Source: RNAcentral
UACGUAGGCAGCGAGCGUUGUUCGGAGUUACUGGGCGUAAAGGGUGUGUAGGCGGCCUGUUAAGUUCCGUGUGAAAUCUCCCGGCUCAACCGGGAGGGUGCGCGGAAUACUGACGGGCUAGAGUGCGGGAUGGGAGAGUAGAAUUCCUGGUGUAGCGGUGAAAUGCGUAGAUAUCAGGAGGAAUACCGGUGGUGUAGACGGCUCUCUGGACCGCAACUGACGCUGAAACACGAAAGCGUGGGUAGCAAACAGG